Molecule: ribosomal RNA, 444 nt
Filed under: uncultured bacterium
Lineage: Bacteria
Description: bacterial SSU rRNA
Rfam family: Bacterial small subunit ribosomal RNA
Source: RNAcentral
CUACGGGAGGCAGCAGGGAGGAAUAUUGGGCAAUGGGGGAAACCCUGACCCAGCAACGCCGCGUGAAGGAUGAAGGCCCUCGGGUUGUAAACUUCUGUGACAGGGGAAGAAAGAAAUGACGGUACCCUGAGAGGAAGCCACGGCAAACUACGUGCCAGCAGCCGCGGUAAUACGUAGGUGGCGAGCGUUGUCCGGAAUCACUGGGCGUAAAGGGCGCGUAGGCGGUCAUGCAAGUCGCAUGUGAAGGACCAGGGCUCAACCCUGGGGUGUCAUGCGAAACUGUGUGACUUGAGUGCAGUAGAGGGAAGCGGAAUUCCUGGUGUAGCGGUAAAAUGCGUAGAGAUCAGGAGGAACACCGGUGGCGAAGGCGGCUUUCUGGGCUGCAACUGACGCUGAGGCGCGAAAGCGUGGGGAGCAAACAGGAUUAGAAACCCGGGUAGUCCA